Molecule: ribosomal RNA, 462 nt
Filed under: uncultured bacterium
Lineage: Bacteria
Description: partial 16S ribosomal RNA
Rfam family: Bacterial small subunit ribosomal RNA
Source: RNAcentral
CCUACGGGAGGCAGCAGUGAGGAAUAUUUGUCAAUGGGCGCGAGCCUGAACCUGCCAAGUAGCGUGAAGGAUGACUGCCCUACGGGUUGUCAACUUCUUUUAUAAAGGAAUAAAGUGAGGCACGUGUGCCUUUUUGUGUGUACUUUAUGAAUAAGUAUCGGCUAACUAAGUGCCAGCAGCCGCGGUCAUACGUAGGAUCCGAGCAUUAUCCGGAUUGACUGGGUGUAAAGGGUGGCGUGGGUGGCGUAAUAAGUAGCUAGUGGAAUCUGGUGGCUAAACCAUUCAGACUAUUAGCUAAACUGUUAAGCUCGAGACCGUUAGGGGUAAGUGGAAUUUCUAGUGUAGGAGUGAAAUCCGUAGAUAUUAGAAGGAACACCAAUAGCGUAGGCAGGUUGCUGGGACGGUUCUGACACUAAGGCACGAAAGCGUAGGGAGCAAACGGGAUUAGAUACCCGAGUAGUC